GACGAACGCUGGCGGCGUGCUUAACACAUGCAAGUCGAACGGAAAGGCCCUGCUUUUGUGGGGUGCUCGAGUGGCGAACGGGUGAGUAACACGUGAGUAACCUGCCCUUGACUUUGGGUUAACUUCAGGAAACUGGGGCUAAUACCGGAUAGUAGCUCCUGCUGCAUGGUGGGGGUUGGAAAGUUUCGGCGGUUGGGGUUGGACUCGCGGCUUAUCAGCUUGUUGGUGGGGUAGUGGCUUACCAAGGCUUUGACGGGUAGCCGGCCUGAGAGGGUGACCGGCCACAUUGGGACUGAGAGACGGCCCAGACUCCUACGGGAGGCAGCAGUGGGGAAUAUUGCACAAUGGGCGGAAGCCUGAUGCAGAAACGCCGCGUGCGGGAUGACGGCCUUAGGGUUGUAAACCGCUUUCGCCUGUGACGAAGCGUGAGUGACGGUAAUGGGUAAAGAAGCACCGGCUAACUACGUG
RNAcentral lists this ribosomal RNA (468 nucleotides) under uncultured bacterium. RNAcentral describes it as "partial 16S ribosomal RNA". It matches the Rfam family "Bacterial small subunit ribosomal RNA", at positions 28 to 507 of the family's 1533-position model. The record is from RNAcentral.